RNAcentral lists this ribosomal RNA (339 nucleotides) under Klebsiella pneumoniae. RNAcentral's name for it is "bacterial SSU rRNA". It matches the Rfam family "Bacterial small subunit ribosomal RNA", at positions 1129 to 1467 of the family's 1533-position model. The record is from RNAcentral. Lineage: Bacteria; Pseudomonadati; Pseudomonadota; Gammaproteobacteria; Enterobacterales; Enterobacteriaceae.
GGCCGGGAACUCAAAGGAGACUGCCAGUGAUAAACUGGAGGAAGGUGGGGAUGACGUCAAGUCAUCAUGGCCCUUACGACCAGGGCUACACACGUGCUACAAUGGCAUAUACAAAGAGAAGCGACCUCGCGAGAGCAAGCGGACCUCAUAAAGUAUGUCGUAGUCCGGAUUGGAGUCUGCAACUCGACUCCAUGAAGUCGGAAUCGCUAGUAAUCGURGAUCAGAAUGCUACGGUGAAUACGUUCCCGGGCCUUGUACACACCGCCCGUCACACCAUGGGAGUGGGUUGCAAAAGAAGUAGGUAGCUUAACCUUCGGGAGGGCGCUUACCACUUUGUGA